This 832-nucleotide ribosomal RNA is filed under the name Diplotriaena obtusa. RNAcentral describes it as "SSU rRNA". It matches the Rfam family "Eukaryotic small subunit ribosomal RNA", at positions 140 to 978 of the family's 1831-position model. Lineage: Eukaryota; Metazoa; Nematoda; Chromadorea; Rhabditida; Diplotriaenidae. The record is from RNAcentral.
GGAAUACUGUUGGUAAUUCUAGAGCUAAUACAUGCACCAAAGCUCUGACUUUUGGACGAGCGCAUCUAUUAGAUUAAAACCAAUCGGGCCUUGGCCCGUCAAUUGGUGACUCUGAAUAGCUCUGGCUGAUCGCAUGGUCUCGUACCGGCGACGUAUCUAUCAAGUGUCUGCCUUAUCAACUUUCGAUGGUAGUUUAUGUGCCUACCAUGGUUGUAACGGGUAACGGAGAAUAAGGGUUCGACUCCGGAGAGGGAGCCUGAGAAACGGCUACCACAUCCAAGGAAGGCAGCAGGCGCGCAAAUUACCCACUCUCGGAAUGAGGAGGUAGUGACGAAAAAUAACGAGACCGUUCUCUUUGAGGCCGGUUAUCGGAAUGGGUACAAUUUAAACCCGUUAACGAGAAUCUAUGAGAGGGCAAGUCUGGUGCCAGCAGCCGCGGUAAUUCCAGCUCUCAAAGUGUAUAUCGUUAUUGCUGCGGUUAAAAAGCUCGUAGUUGGAUCUGCGUCUUAGGACCUGGUCCGUCCAUUGGACGAGAACUGGGAACCUAGACUUCAUUGGCCAGUUUUCCCUAUGUUACCUUAAUUGGUUGCAUAGGGUGGCGGGCAAGUUUACCUUGAAAAAAUUAGAGUGCUCAAUGCGGGCUAAUGCCUGAAUAUUCGUGCAUGGAAUAAUGAAAUAGGAUCUCGGUUCUAUUUUGUUGGUUUUCUGAUCUGAGAUAAUGGUUAAGAGGGACGGACGGGGGCAUUCGUAUCGCUGCGUGAGAGGUGAAAUUCUUGGACCGUAGCGAGACGCCCGACUGCGAAAGCAUUUGCCAAGAAUUCUCAUAUCAGAC